RNAcentral lists this ribosomal RNA (198 nucleotides) under uncultured Bacteroidota bacterium. Its description in RNAcentral is "uncultured Bacteroidetes bacterium partial 16S ribosomal RNA". It matches the Rfam family "Bacterial small subunit ribosomal RNA", at positions 640 to 832 of the family's 1533-position model. Lineage: Bacteria; Pseudomonadati; Bacteroidota. The record is from RNAcentral.
CCUUGAGUGUGGAUGAAGGUAGGCUGGAAUUUCUGGUGUAGCGGUGAAAUGCRUAGAUAUYACGAGGAACWCCGAUUGCGAAGGCAGGCUUACUAGGACUAGAACUGACGCUCAAGCCCCGAAAGCGUGGGGAUCAAACAGGAUUAGAUACCCUGGUAGUCCACGCCGUAAACGAUGAUUACUAGGUGUUUGCGAUAU